Molecule: long non-coding RNA, 355 nt
Filed under: Homo sapiens (human)
Lineage: Eukaryota; Metazoa; Chordata; Mammalia; Primates; Hominidae
Description: non-protein coding lnc-MAP10-10:1
Source: RNAcentral
AGGUCGCGGUGAGUGAGAAGAGCGCUCGCCGGAGGCUCCCGGUCUUACAAAGAGGGAUCCGUCCCGGUGAGGGCGCGCGCUCCGGGCGCACCCCCUCUAGAAGGGGAAUUAGCCCCGCAGCAAGUUCGGCGUCAGCUGGCCAGGCGCGCCGGGGAAGCUGCGUCGGGCAACCGCGAGCCCUUCCAGAGAGCGUUAGUCAGAGCGAAGUUCUGGGCACCUGGAGAAGACCCUCCUCAGUGCCUGUGUCGCCGAGACGGGAAUAACCUUUCAGCCGAUCGAUAACUUGGAGAGAACAGGCGGCGGCGGCUCCUCUUCCAGCCGGGGAUCGGGAGCGCGGGCGCAUCUGCGUCUACAA